AUUGAACGCUGGCGGCAGGCCUAACACAUGCAAGUCGAACGAGUGGCGGACGGGUGAGUAAUGUCUGGGAAACUGCCUGAUGGAGGGGGAUAACUACUGGAAACGGUAGCUAAUACCGCAUACCAUCAGAUGUGCCCAGAUGGGAUUAGCUAGUUGGUGGGGUAACGGCUCACCAAGGCGACGAUCCCUAGCUGGUAUGAGAGGAUGACCAGCCGCACUGGAACAGAGACACGGUCCAGAGUCCUACGCUGGGAAGUGUUGGGGAAGAUUGCACAAUGGGGGCAAGCCUGAUACAGCCAUGCCGCGUGUAUGAAGAAGGCCUUCGGGUUGUAAAGUACUGUCAGCGGGGAGGCGUUACCCGCAGAAGAAGCACCGGCUAACUCCGUGCCAGCCGCCGCGGUAAUAC
RNAcentral lists this ribosomal RNA (406 nucleotides) under uncultured bacterium. Its description in RNAcentral is "partial 16S ribosomal RNA". It matches the Rfam family "Bacterial small subunit ribosomal RNA", at positions 30 to 526 of the family's 1533-position model. The record is from RNAcentral.